GUUCCUAUCCGUACAAAUCUCUGAACUUUACAAUCAGAUAAAUUUAUAGUGUCCUCUCUACUUUCACCCAAUUUAGAUAGCACUCGAAACAUAUGCACACUUUUGAUACAAACUUUUUGGUUGUCAAAAUCCGAGAAAUGCUACUGUUGAACCCUGACAUAAUAUAAAUAGAGAAUUCAACAAAUAUACUUCAGUUGCAUGUCAAAUAGAUAACAUUGAUAAUAUUUUUCUUGAAUUUUCUGAGAAGCCAAAUACAAAUUAGAGAAUUCCUUUGCCCUGUCCCAGCACUAAUACCAUCAAGAAUAUGAGACUGUGCUAUAUGUUCUUAUCUAGUUUCUCUAAUGACCAUGUCCGUAAACAAAGCAAAUUAAAAGGCAACUGAGGCCAGAUAUUCCAAUAAAUAAUUUCUAAAGCACCAAAAUUAUUGGCUGACUAGAAGUUAAAAUACUCCUACAUUCUACCUGCUGGCAUCUUGAACAAAUUCUUUUAUCGAACGACUCUAAAGAGAAGCAAAUUUGACAUAUGAACUAAUAUGAUGAUUGGAAGUACAAU
RNAcentral lists this long non-coding RNA (552 nucleotides) under Elaeis guineensis (African oil palm). RNAcentral's name for it is "long non-coding RNA (EGUI_LNC015925)". Lineage: Eukaryota; Viridiplantae; Streptophyta; Magnoliopsida; Arecales; Arecaceae. The record is from RNAcentral.